AUCCUUCACACGGCAUGAGGGAUGUCAUAUCCAUUAAGUUCCAAGGCAUCUCCUGAUGUAAUGGCAGCCCUUGGGUCUUCAUUGUCUAAUAAGGAAAAACAAAAAACCUUUCUUCGCUCAAGUGCUCCUCCUCCAACCCUCCUGAUGUUAGGACAUCUUCAUGAGGUGCUUAAUGCUAGAGGACUUCCUAACUAUCACAAGACACUUGUAGACUGAGUCUCAGCUGCUUUACAUCCUCCUCAAUCCUCUUCGGGUGAUACCGAUCAGGACAUGAAUGAAUUCGAGGAGGAAGACUGUGAAAUGUCAUAGUAUGAAAAACCUGAAGAAGAGAGGAUUUAAUGGUGCUGGAUCAAUUCCAGCAUGGGCUAUGGAAGGAAACUUUGGUUCAAAAUGUUUCUUAAGCCUUGGUGGCCUCCCAAAAGAAGGGGAGGGUUGAUAAGUGUUGAGAAGAAGCUUAGGAUUCUUCUAUUUCCUUUUUGACCUCGUUUGCUUACUGGGGAGUAUAGGGCCAUGAUACUACCUCUCGUAUCAUCCGCAUGUUGAAAAAGUCAACCCUCUCGCUUUUAUCUAGUAGAGACCAAAGCUGAUAUGGAUAGGAUCAAUCUAUUUUGUGCUAAGCUUGACCAUAGUUGGGAUUGGCUGUUAUUGUGGCUGAGGGCUACUCCAGAGGCAUUAUCACCUUUUGGAGAAAGUACAUCAGGUUGGUAACACCUAUGGCUAAUUCCCAGAAUUCGGUGCACCUUGUUACUUCCCAAAGCUCUUCUAAAGCCAGGAUCAUUGCAGUUUUCUACAAUUCUAAUUGGAUCCAAGGCUAGUUUUUACUAUGGGAAGAACUCUUUGGUAUGAUCCCCUUAAACUUACCAUGGAUUAUCAUUGGUGACUUUAAUCAUGUGGUUUCCAUGAGUGAGUAUAAGGGAGCUCCUGAUUUUUAUUACUCUUGCAAAGCUUGUAUGUUUUAUGAUUUCAUAGCCUCGAAUAAUCUAUUAAUCACAUUCUGCA
Dioscorea cayenensis subsp. rotundata (Guinea yam) is the source of this 999-nucleotide long non-coding RNA. RefSeq lists it as uncharacterized. The transcript is spliced from 2 exons. Lineage: Eukaryota; Viridiplantae; Streptophyta; Magnoliopsida; Dioscoreales; Dioscoreaceae. The record is from RefSeq and is a predicted model, not a curated record.